AUGCAUGUCUAAGUAUAAGCACUUUAUACUGUGAAACUGCGAAUGGCUCAUUAAAUCAGUUAUCGUUUAUUUGAUAGUACCUUACUACAUGGAUACCUGUGGUAAUUCUAGAGCUAAUACAUGCUACACACCCCGACUUCAGGAAGGGGUGUAUUUAUUAGAUAAAAAACCAACGCCCUUCGGGGCUCCUUGGUGAAUCAUAAUAACUUAACGAAUCGCAUGGCCUUGCGCCGGCGAUGGUUCAUUCAAAUUUCUGCCCUAUCAACUUUCGAUGGUAGGAUAGUGGCCUACCAUGGUGGCAACGGGUAACGGGGAAUUAGGGUUCGAUUCCGGAGAGGGAGCCUGAGAAACGGCUACCACAUCCAAGGAAGGCAGCAGGCGCGCAAAUUACCCAAUCCCGAUACGGGGAGGUAGUGACAAUAAAUACUGAUACGGGGCUCUUUCGGGUCUCGUAAUUGGAAUGAGAACAAUUUAAAUCCCUUAACGAGGAACAAUUGGAGGGCAAGUCUGGUGCCAGCAGCCGCGGUAAUUCCAGCUCCAAUAGCGUAUAUUAAAGUUGUUGCAGUUAAAAAGCUCGUAGUUGAACCUUGGGCCUGGCUGGCCGGUCCGCCUCACCGCGAGUACUGGUCCGGCUGGGCCUUUCCUUCUGGGGAACCUCAUGGCCUUCACUGGCUGUGGGGGGAACCAGGACUUUUACUGUGAAAAAAUUAGAGUGUUCAAAGCAGGCCUUUGCUCGAAUACAUUAGCAUGGAAUAAUAGAAUAGGACGUGCGGUUCUAUUUUGUUGGUUUCUAGGACCGCCGUAAUGAUUAAUAGGGAUAGUCGGGGGCGUCAGUAUUCAGCUGUCAGAGGUGAAAUUCUUGGAUUUGCUGAAGACUAACUACUGCGAAAGCAUUCGCCAAGGAUGUUUUCAUUAAUCAGGGAACGAAAGUUAGGGGAUCGAAGACGAUCAGAUACCGUCGUAGUCUUAACCAUAAACUAUGCCGACUAGGGAUCGGACGGGAUUCUAUGAUGACCCGUUCGGCACCUUACGAGAAAUCAAAGUUUUUGGGAUCUGGGGGGAGUUUGGUCGCAAGGCUGAAACUUAAAGAUAUUAACGGA
This 1100-nucleotide ribosomal RNA is filed under the name Penicillium griseofulvum. Its description in RNAcentral is "SSU rRNA". It matches the Rfam family "Eukaryotic small subunit ribosomal RNA", at positions 51 to 1160 of the family's 1831-position model. The record is from RNAcentral. Lineage: Eukaryota; Fungi; Ascomycota; Eurotiomycetes; Eurotiales; Aspergillaceae.